GAUGAACGCUAGCGGCAGGCUUAAUACAUGCAAGUCGAGGGGUAACAUGGUAGCAAUACUGAUGACGACCGGCAAACGGGUGCGGAACACGUACAGAACCUUCCUUUAAGCGGGGGAUAGCCCAUAGAAAUGUGGAUUAAUACCCAUAGUAAUAUUGACUGGCAUCAGUUGGUAUUUAAAGAUUUAUCACUUAAAGAUGGCUGUGCGGCUGAUUAGGUAGUUGGUGGGGUAACGGCCCACCAAGCCUUCGAUCAGUAACUGGUGUGAGAGCACGACCAGUCACACGGGCACUGAGACACGGGCCCCGACUCCUACGGGAGGCAGCAGUAAGGAAUAUUGGUCAAUGGACGCAAGUCUGAACCAGCCAUGCCGCGUGAAGGAU
This 382-nucleotide ribosomal RNA is filed under the name uncultured bacterium. RNAcentral's name for it is "bacterial SSU rRNA". It matches the Rfam family "Bacterial small subunit ribosomal RNA", at positions 28 to 409 of the family's 1533-position model. The record is from RNAcentral.